UGUCGAUGAAGAGCGCAGCCAACUGUGUGAGUUAAUGUGAACCGCAUACAGCUUUGAACAUCGACAUCUUGAACGCACAUUGCGGCCAUGGGUUAGCCUGUGGCCACGCCUGUCCGAGGGUCG
RNAcentral lists this ribosomal RNA (123 nucleotides) under Bianium arabicum. RNAcentral's name for it is "partial 5.8S ribosomal RNA". It matches the Rfam family "5.8S ribosomal RNA", at positions 33 to 154 of the family's 154-position model. Rfam says of the family: 5.8S ribosomal RNA (5.8S rRNA) is a component of the large subunit of the eukaryotic ribosome. It is transcribed by RNA polymerase I as part of the 45S precursor that also contains 18S and 28S rRNA. Lineage: Eukaryota; Metazoa; Platyhelminthes; Trematoda; Plagiorchiida; Lepocreadiidae. The record is from RNAcentral. RNAcentral also lists the same sequence under 2 other names.